This 507-nucleotide ribosomal RNA is filed under the name uncultured bacterium. RNAcentral's name for it is "partial 16S ribosomal RNA". It matches the Rfam family "Bacterial small subunit ribosomal RNA", at positions 28 to 523 of the family's 1533-position model. The record is from RNAcentral.
GAUGAACGCUAGCUACAGGCUUAACACAUGCAAGUCGAGGGGAAACGAUAUUGGAAGCUUGCUUCCGAUAGGCGUCGACCGGCGCACGGGUGAGUAACGCGUAUCCAACCUGCCCACCACUUGGGGAUAACCUUGCGAAAGUAAGACUAAUACCCAAUGACGUCUCUAGAAGACAUCUGCAAGAGAUUAAAGAUUUAUCGGUGAUGGAUGGGGAUGCGUCUGAUUAGCUUGUUGGCGGGGUAACGGCCCACUAAGGCUACGAACAGUAGGGGUUCUGAAAGGAAGGUCCCCCACAUUGGAACUGAGACACGGUCCAAACUCCUACGGGAGGCAGCAGUGAGGAAUAUGGUCAAUGGGCGAGAGCCUGAACCAGCCAAGUAGCGUGCAGGAUGACGGCCCUAUGGGUUGUAAACUGCUUUUAUAAGGGAAUAAGGUGAGUCUCGUGAGACUUUUUGCAUGUACCUUAUGAAUAAGGACCGGCUAAUUCCGUGCCAGCAGCCGCCGUAA